Harpia harpyja (harpy eagle) is the source of this 1219-nucleotide long non-coding RNA. RefSeq lists it as uncharacterized. The transcript is spliced from 3 exons. NCBI's taxonomy places the organism in Eukaryota, Metazoa, Chordata, Aves, Accipitriformes, Accipitridae. The record is from RefSeq and is a predicted model, not a curated record.
UGACGCUCUGGGGGAAGCAGUGACUUGGUGGCCUUUUGCUCACCUUGUGUGAAGAGCAGUUUUGAAGCAAUGGUCUUUGUUCUCUCAGCAGCCUCAUCGCUGAUGACUAACAGUUCCUGAUGGGUGAAGCAUAAAGUGGACUGCCUUUUUUUUUUUUUUUUUUCAAGAAUUUUUUUCGCUGGCAAGGCUUGACGUCGGAUUUUUCACUUCUGGAAACCUGCUUCCUAGCACCCUUGUAGCACCCUUGUCAGAAUUUGCAAUGUGACUCAUAUCGACCUCAACAGAAACCAAUGAGAUCUCAGCACUGGCGUUUCAGGGAGUGGGGAGUACGUAUUCCGAGCGAGCAGGGAGGAUGAACGAGGCUUUCUCAGACAAGUUUGUUUGCAGAGAGAAUGGGUGAUGUAACCUGGCUGUUUCUCCCAUGAGGUAUCUUAAUUACAGAGACCCACAGAAAAUGUGAACUUGAGUUAUGAAAGCAGUAGAGUUCAGCAUUUGAAAAGCUAUUACUGAAAUCGCAUUGGUCCCAGGGGUAUCACCUGCUUCCCUCUGUGGGAGCUGGGGUGUCUGCUCCGCUUCUGCUCAGCGCUGGUCUCACUGCACUUCUUCGGCAGUUUGCCCAGGAUUUAUCUUUUUGUGGAAGUCUGAGGAAGGUUUACUUCGGUAACAGGAUCAGGGACUUCUGUCCCUUUUUGGUUAUUGCGUUCCAUGUAGCUUUUGAGGGCUGUAACUAAGAAGUGGAAGAUGAAUCUGAAUGGUGGAAAACCCCUCUCGCUGAAAAUGGUGCUUAAAAAAAAAAAGGAAAAAAAAGAAGAAGAAAAAUGAUCUGAAGCAAACUUCCUCUGCUAACUGUCUCCUGCCUGUCGGGAAAGGAGAGAUUGGCAAUUCAUCGCCCACUCCUCGGAAGAGUCUGGCAGCGUGUUUGCUGAAAAUAUAAAGUCAAAUGUAAGAGCUGCAAUCCCUGCAAUGCCCCCGAUUUAUAUUUAUGGCUAAAAGGGGUUUUGCCAGUCGCUUUGUGCAGCAGGGAAAUGUGCUGCAAACGACCGAGUCUUGUUUUCCACCGAGACCAGCGGACGCUUUGGUUAGCAGAGGGCUGUGAGCUGGGCUGCGGUGGGAAGACUGGUGUCCCAUGGCCAAACCAGUGCUCACUGUGUGUGCCGGGAUCGGGGCAGAGCCGUACGGGGUGGGGCUUGAUAACAGGAUAAACCUCUGGAAAAAUUAA